UAAUUUUAUGUAUAAGCUGGU
This 21-nucleotide microRNA is filed under the name Macaca mulatta (Rhesus monkey). RNAcentral describes it as "mml-miR-590-3p". Its record names the gene mml-miR-590-3p. The record is from miRBase by way of RNAcentral. Lineage: Eukaryota; Metazoa; Chordata; Mammalia; Primates; Cercopithecidae.